CCUAAGGGUGGCAGCAGUGGGGAAUAUUGGACAAUGGGCGAAAGCCUGAUCCAGCCAUGCCGCGUGUGUGAAGAAGGCCUUCGGGUUGUAAAGCACUUUCAGUGGGGAAGAAAGCCUUGGGGCUAAUACCCUCGAGGAAGGACAUCACCCACAGAAGAAGCACCGGCUAACUCCGUGCCAGCAGCCGCGGUAAUACGGAGGGUGCGAGCGUUAAUCGGAAUUACUGGGCGUAAAGCGCGCGUAGGCGGUCUGAUAAGCCGGUUGUGAAAGCCCCGGGCUCAACCUGGGAACGGCAUCCGGAACUGUCAGGCUAGAGUGCAGGAGAGGAAGGUAGAAUUCCCGGUGUAGCGGUGAAAUGCGUAGAGAUCGGGAGGAAUACCAGUGGCGAAGGCGGCCUUCUGGACUGACACUGACGCUGAGGUGCGAAAGCGUGGGUAGCAAACAGGAUUAGAUACCCCGUAGUC
RNAcentral lists this ribosomal RNA (464 nucleotides) under Vreelandella stevensii. Its description in RNAcentral is "partial 16S ribosomal RNA". It matches the Rfam family "Bacterial small subunit ribosomal RNA", at positions 338 to 795 of the family's 1533-position model. Lineage: Bacteria; Pseudomonadati; Pseudomonadota; Gammaproteobacteria; Oceanospirillales; Halomonadaceae. The record is from RNAcentral.